Molecule: long non-coding RNA, 1337 nt
Filed under: Marmota monax (woodchuck)
Lineage: Eukaryota; Metazoa; Chordata; Mammalia; Rodentia; Sciuridae
Source: RNAcentral
CCUCGCCAGGCUAGAGAGACUGCCGCGCGCCGCGGGAGCGGAGCGAUGGGUGAAAACGCCGCGCCAGGGCCCCUUAGACUAGACCCGGGCGGGGGAGGCCACGCGCGAGCACCCAGGUGCCCACCCACCUUCUCGGGCCCGUGAGCGGGGACACUGACCGCCCCCGCACUCCUGAGUGUCGAAGCUUCUUCAUCUGCUGUCCCGGGAGCCAGCACAGCCAGACCAGCUGGAGGGUGGGCGCCCACGCUGCCGCUCGUGGCCGCCCAGGGUCUCGGGAGGAGAGAAGCGUGGGUAUCUGGGGGCGCAGAGGUCUCCAGCCCGGCAGGGCGAGCCCGCGGGGGAAAAUGUCAGCGCCGGGCCAGAUCUGAGCAGGGUAGGCCGGAGGCAGCGCGGUGCUGGGCGGUAGCGCCCGGGUCAUGGAGUGGUGCUGCCAGCUCCAGACCCGCUGUGCAUCGCAUUCCGCUGAAUGACCUUGGGCAUGAAGUAGACCUCCUGCUAUGUAAAGCGACGAUGUGGGGAGUCUGAAUGACCUUGGGCAUGAAGUAGACCUCCUGCUAUGUGAAGCGACGAUGUGGGGAGUGGGGAGUUCGCUGUGUCAGGUGCCCAGCACCCACGUGACCCUCAGUAAAGGCUGAACCCCGUCUGUCCACAGUUUUCAUUUCCAAGCCUCCAGUUAUCCGAGGUCCAAAAAUAUCCAAUAGCAACUCCAGUUUGAAAUUGCCCACUAUUGUGAGUAACAUGAUAAAAUCUCCAGCUGCCUGAACAGGACUCACCUUCACCUUUUGUCUCUCCUAAGGUAUUUUGAGAGAAAGAGAAAGAGAGAGAGAGAGAGAGAUCAGUCGCAUAAUUUUUGUUUGCUGCCCUGGGAUUGAAACUAAUUGGCUCGUGCUGGUGAUGCUCUACCACCCAGCUGCAUCCACCAGUGGCCCCCACCUGUUGUACUGGCGUUAUUUAUUUUAUUUUAUUUUCACUAAGUUGCCCAGGCUGUCCUCCAACUUAGGAUCGUCCUCCCCAGCCUCCUAAGUAGCUAGGGGUUACAUGUGUGUGAUAUCUUACCCUGCCCCACAUAACUUUUAAUACAGUAUAUUGUUAUAACUGUUUUAUUUUAUUAUUAAUCUUUUUCUCUCUUUUUUGGGGAGUCCUGGGGAUUGAACUCAAGAGUACUCUACCAUUGAGCUACAUCCCUAGCUCUUGUUUUUGUUUUUUGUUACUGGGGAUUGAAUCCAGGGAGCCACAUCCCCAGGCUUAUAACUAACUAACUAUCUUUCUCCUUCCUUCCUUCCUUCCUUCCUUCCUUCCUUCCUUCCUUUCUUGUCUUUCUUUCUGUCUUUCUUUCU